RNAcentral lists this ribosomal RNA (207 nucleotides) under uncultured Anaerolineaceae bacterium. RNAcentral describes it as "partial 16S ribosomal RNA". It matches the Rfam family "Bacterial small subunit ribosomal RNA", at positions 568 to 774 of the family's 1533-position model. Lineage: Bacteria; Bacillati; Chloroflexota; Anaerolineae; Anaerolineales; Anaerolineaceae. The record is from RNAcentral.
CGUGUAGGUGGUUCUGUAAGUAGGGCGUGAAAGCUCCUGGCUCAACUGGGAGAGGCCGUUCUAAACUGCAGAGCUAGAGGAUGGUAGAGGGAGGUGGAAUUCCGGGUGUAGCGGUGGAAUGCGCAGAUAUCCGGAGGAACACCAGUGGCGAAAGCGGCCUCCUGGACCAUUCCUGACACUCAGACGCGAAAGCUAGGGUAGCAAACG